GACGAACGCUGGCGGCGUGCUUAACACAUGCAAGUCGAACGGAAAGGCCCUGCUUUUGUGGGGUGCUCGAGUGGCGAACGGGUGAGUAACACGUGAGUAACCUGCCCUUGACUUUGGGAUAACUUCAGGAAACUGGGGCUAAUACCGGAUAGGAGCUCCUGCUGCAUGGUGGGGGUUGGAAAGUUUCGGCGGUUGGGGAUGGACUCGCGGCUUAUCAGCUUGUUGGUGGGGUAGUGGCUUACCAAGGCUUUGACGGGUAGCCGGCCUGAGAGGGUGACCGGCCACAUUUGGACUGAGAUACGGCCCAGACUCCUACGGGAGGCAGCAGUGGGGAAUAUUGCACAAUGGGCGGAAGCCUGAUGCAGCAACGCCGCGUGCGGGAUGACGGCCUUCGGGUUGUAAACCGCUUUCGCCUGUGACGAAGCGUAAGUGACGGUAAUGGGUAAAGAAGCACCGGCUAACUACGUG
This 468-nucleotide ribosomal RNA is filed under the name uncultured bacterium. RNAcentral's name for it is "partial 16S ribosomal RNA". It matches the Rfam family "Bacterial small subunit ribosomal RNA", at positions 28 to 507 of the family's 1533-position model. The record is from RNAcentral.